UUGAAUCUACGGACUCUAUUAUUUAUUUAAUUGUCUAUUAAUUAAAUAAUAGAUCUGCCAUUUAAUUGCAUUAAUUAAUUAUAUAUAAAAGUAUUUAUGUCCAAAGUCGAUUGGACCUAGGGCAUAAUACUUACACAUGGGAUUGUGAUUGAGAUUAAGAAGUUGCCAUUUCUUCGGAUCCCUUUCGUCUUUUCCUUUUUGUUCUUCCUUUCCUUGCUUCAUACCAUGGUAAAGGGAGCACACCAACUCCUCCAGUUUCAAGCCACAACUCUUAACCAUUGAUGGGAUGUAUAACAUUUUCGUAUGUUCUCACAUAUGUUUCAACCAAAAACCAAUCCAACACGUAGGCUUGUAUGUCAUGACCUCUAUCCAAGAUGCAAGUGAUCGCAUGUGGACAUGGUAUCCUAGAAAUCUACCAUCUUCUAUACGUGCAAGUUCAAUUCUCCAUGUCAACUAAAAAUUCUCCAUACGAACACUCAACUUGAUAUUGAUGAACCCCAUCCCAUCGCAAUAUGCAUUCACGGGCUGCAUCACUGAACUUAUCUUCUUUUUUUUUUUUUUUUUUUUUUUUUUGAGACAUAUGGGCUUGUUAUAUUUUUUUUAGCUUAUCCCGCCUCAUCUAGAUUCAGUGCAUCAAUUUGUUUUGAAUCCCAAUCAACAUUGUGAGUAUGGAUUUCUCUCUUUCUUCCAAAACGAAGUUGUUGAAGACCUCACAUAGUUUAUUAAGAAUAAACCUAUCUCAAGUUCAGGAUUUUGCUUUCCAGUUGCAGGAGAAAAUUCAAGGAAACUAAGUUUACCAAUGUUUUCCUCCCCAUCUAAACUACUACCAAUUUUCAGCUCUUCAAAGGAUGCAUUCGAUGAGCUAUCGUAUUCUGGGGCUACUUCAUUAUGCAGAGUAUUACGCAUACCAAUUUCUAUCCCUUCACUCACAUUACGUUCAAACAACAUAUCAUCCUCCUCAUACACAUCGUGGUUAAAGUUAUUGAAGUCCAAAUCGUCAUCUACCUCAUCGACUGGAAAUGUAAGAACAACAAGGUUAAUAAAGAGAGACGAGUAUAUGAAGUAUUUGUACAAAAUGCAACAAAAACAAACAAGAAAAAAAUUAUUUCAGCCAUGGUGAACAAUUUUUCCCUGUCGAUUGUUGGUUGCCGUCAGCCAUGGUUGUUUCAAAACGCCCUCGCCAUGAGUCUUUCUUUCCUUGAAGACAAUAGUUUUGAAGUUUUAAACUUCAGCUGGAGUUCGACUUAGGCUACAUAGCUUUGAUCGAACGAGUGUUAGACGGGCGAUGCUCGAUUUUCCUUGUGCCUACGUUCGGGAACUGAGUUAAAGGUAUUUUGGGGCUAUGUUCAACUCGAAUCGUGGCGUGGGUAGCUAGAAUUCGGUAUUGGUUGCUGGGAUUUAGGGUUUUGUGGUGGUGGUGGAGAGCUCUUGGUGAAUUUGGGGUAGGAGAUGGGUUUU
This 1458-nucleotide long non-coding RNA is filed under the name Olea europaea subsp. europaea. Lineage: Eukaryota; Viridiplantae; Streptophyta; Magnoliopsida; Lamiales; Oleaceae. The record is from RNAcentral.